AUUGAACGCUGGCGGCAUGCCUUACACAUGCAAGUCGAACGGUAACGGGCCUUCUGAUGCCGACGAGUGGCGAACGGGUGAGUAAUACAUCGGAACGUGCCCGAUCGUGGGGGGUAACGAGGCGAAAGCUUUGCUAAUACCGCAUACGAUCUACGGGUGAAAACAGGGGACCGCAAGGCCUUGCGCGGACGGAGCGGCCGAUGGCAGAUUAGGUAGUUGUUGGGAUAAAAGCUUACCAAGCCGACGAUCUGUAGCUGGUCUGAGAGGAUGAUCAGCCACACUGGGACUGAGACACGGCCCAGACUCCUACGGGAGGCAGCAGUGGGGAAUUUUGGACAAUGGGCGCAAGCCUGAUCCAGCCAUGCCGCGUGCAGGAUGAAGGCCUUCGGGUUGUAAACUGCUUUUGUACGGAACGAAAAGCCUUCUUUUAAUACAGGAGGGUCAUGACGGUACCGUAAGAAUAAGCACCGGCUAACUACGUG
Molecule: ribosomal RNA, 482 nt
Filed under: uncultured bacterium
Lineage: Bacteria
Description: partial 16S ribosomal RNA
Rfam family: Bacterial small subunit ribosomal RNA
Source: RNAcentral